CAAUAGCGUAUAUUUAAGUUGUUGCAGUUAAAAAGCUCGUAGUUGGAUUUCGGGUUGGCUUCAGCGGUCUCGCUUUGCGUUUGUACUGCUGCAGCCUACCUUCUUGUCGGGGACGGGCCUUCGGGCUUAAUUGCUUGGGGCCCGGAGUCGACGAUGUUACUUUGAGUAAAUUAGAGUGUUCAAAGCAAGCCUACGCUCUGAAUAUAAUAGCAUGGGAUAACACGACAGGACUCUGGCCUAUCGUGUUGGUCUGUAGGACCAGAGUAAUGAUUAAGAGGGACAGUCGGGGGCAUUCGUAUUCCGUUGUCAGAGGUGAAAUUCUUGGAUUUACGGAAGACGAACACCUGCGAAAGCAUUUGCCAAGGAUGUUUUCAUUGA
RNAcentral lists this ribosomal RNA (378 nucleotides) under uncultured eukaryote. Its description in RNAcentral is "partial 18S ribosomal RNA". It matches the Rfam family "Eukaryotic small subunit ribosomal RNA", at positions 592 to 976 of the family's 1831-position model. The record is from RNAcentral.